Molecule: ribosomal RNA, 397 nt
Filed under: uncultured bacterium
Lineage: Bacteria
Description: partial 16S ribosomal RNA
Rfam family: Bacterial small subunit ribosomal RNA
Source: RNAcentral
AUACGUAGGGGGCGAGCGUUGUCCGGAAUGAUUGGGCGUAAAGGGCGCGUAGGCGGCCCGGUAAGUCUGGAGUGAAAGUCCUGUUUUUAAGAUGGGAAUUGCUUUGGAUACUGUCGGGCUUGAGUGCAGGAGAGGUAAGUGGAAUUCCCAGUGUAGCGGUGAAAUGCGUAGAGAUUGGGAGGAACACCAGUGGCGAAGGCGACUUACUGGACUGUAACUGACGCUGAGGCGCGAAAGUGUGGGGAGCAAACAGGAUUAGAUACCCUGGUAGUCCACACUGUAAACGAUGAAUGCUAGGUGUAGGGGGUGUCGACCCCUUCUGUGCCGCAGUCAACACAAUAAGCAGUCCGCCUGGGGAGUACGGCCGCAAGGUUGAAACUCAAAUGAAUUGACGGGG